This 117-nucleotide ribosomal RNA is filed under the name Pedobacter sp. RNAcentral's name for it is "partial 16S ribosomal RNA". It matches the Rfam family "Bacterial small subunit ribosomal RNA", at positions 1425 to 1533 of the family's 1533-position model. The record is from RNAcentral. Lineage: Bacteria; Pseudomonadati; Bacteroidota; Sphingobacteriia; Sphingobacteriales; Sphingobacteriaceae.
AGGCGUUGAGCUAACCCGCAAGGGAGGCAGGCGACCACAGUGGGUUUAGCGACUGGGGUGAAGUCGUAACAAGGUAGCCGUAGGGGAACCUGCGGCUGGAUCACCUCCUUUCUAAGG